AAAAGAACUAAGGAGAGUUGAACCUACCGUGGACUGGAGAAUGAGAGCGAGAGACCAAGCACUCCAAGACAGUGACGACGGCCUCAAGUUGCAAGAAGAAUGAGUCGAGAGAGAAGAGAGGAGAGGAAUGAGCAGAGUGAGAAGUGUGAAGACUAACGAGACGACAGACGAGUCGCGCGGCGAGUGAGAAUCGAAUGACUAGCUGCUAUGUUCUCCAGAAUCGCGCGGCGAGCAAGUUUGGAGAAAGGGACUGAAGAAGUUAACGAGAUAUUUACCUAACCCUAAAUCUCAAGGCCAAAACGAUGUGUUUUAAUAAAUUUCGGUUCGGUUCGGUUCAACCGAACUUUUUGGUCA
Molecule: unclassified non-coding RNA, 354 nt
Filed under: Hevea brasiliensis (rubber tree)
Lineage: Eukaryota; Viridiplantae; Streptophyta; Magnoliopsida; Malpighiales; Euphorbiaceae
Source: RNAcentral